CCUACGGGAGGCAGCAGUGAGGAAUAUUGGUCAAUGGGCGCGAGCCUGAACCAGCCAAGUCGCGUGAGGGAAGACGGCCCUAUGGAUUGUAAACCUCUUUUGUAGGGGGGCAAAAGCAGCCACGCGUAGCUUUCCGAGAGUACCCGAAGAAAAAGCAUCGGCUAACUCCGUGCCAGCAGCCGCGGUAAUACGGAGGAUGCGAGGGUUAUCCGGAUUUAUUGGGUUUAAAGGGUGCGAAGGCGGAAGGUUAAGUCAGCGGUAAAAUUGAGGGGCUCAACCUCGACGAGCCGUUGAGACUGGUUUUCUUGAGUGAGUUAGAGGUAUGCGGAAUGCGUGGUGUAGCGGUGAAAUGCAUAGAUAUCACGCAGAACUCCGAUUGCGAAGGCAGCAUACCGGCGCUCAACUGACGCUGAGGCACGAAAGCGUGGGUAGCGAACAGGAUUAGAUACCCUUGUAGUC
RNAcentral lists this ribosomal RNA (459 nucleotides) under uncultured bacterium. RNAcentral describes it as "partial 16S ribosomal RNA". It matches the Rfam family "Bacterial small subunit ribosomal RNA", at positions 338 to 795 of the family's 1533-position model. The record is from RNAcentral.